GCUUUAUAGUGGAAAAGAAAGAAAACAUUAGAUUGCAAAUCUGAAGAGGUAAAUUACUAAAGCUUA
Molecule: transfer RNA, 66 nt
Filed under: Engaeus lengana
Lineage: Eukaryota; Metazoa; Arthropoda; Malacostraca; Decapoda; Parastacidae
Description: tRNA-Cys
Source: RNAcentral